This 44-nucleotide small RNA is filed under the name Arabidopsis thaliana (thale cress). RNAcentral describes it as "ATSL275130". Lineage: Eukaryota; Viridiplantae; Streptophyta; Magnoliopsida; Brassicales; Brassicaceae. The record is from RNAcentral.
AAAAAAAUAAAAAAAAAAUAGAGGGAUGAAACACGAGGACUUCC